RNAcentral lists this ribosomal RNA (602 nucleotides) under Trichoderma asperellum. RNAcentral's name for it is "eukaryotic LSU rRNA". The stretch from base 214 to 367 matches the Rfam family "5.8S ribosomal RNA". Lineage: Eukaryota; Fungi; Ascomycota; Sordariomycetes; Hypocreales; Hypocreaceae. The record is from RNAcentral.
UCCGUAGGUGAACCUGCGGAGGGAUCAUUACCGAGUUUACAACUCCCAAACCCAAUGUGAACGUUACCAAACUGUUGCCUCGGCGGGGUCACGCCCCGGGUGCGUCGCAGCCCCGGAACCAGGCGCCCGCCGGAGGAACCAACCAAACUCUUUCUGUAGUCCCCUCGCGGACGUAUUUCUUACAGCUCUGAGCAAAAAUUCAAAAUGAAUCAAAACUUUCAACAACGGAUCUCUUGGUUCUGGCAUCGAUGAAGAACGCAGCGAAAUGCGAUAAGUAAUGUGAAUUGCAGAAUUCAGUGAAUCAUCGAAUCUUUGAACGCACAUUGCGCCCGCCAGUAUUCUGGCGGGCAUGCCUGUCCGAGCGUCAUUUCAACCCUCGGACCCCUCCGGGGGAUCGGCGUUGGGGAUCGGGACCCCUCACACGGGUGCCGGCCCCGAAAUACAGUGGCGGUCUCGCCGCAGCCUCUCCUGCGCAGUAGUUUGCACAACUCGCACCGGGAGCGCGGCGCGUCCACGUCCGUAAAACACCCAACUUUCUGAAAUGUUGACCUCGGAUCAGGUAGGAAUACCCGCUGAACUUAAGCAUAUCAAUAAGCGGAGGA